UACGUAGGCAGCAAGCGUUGUUCGGAGUUACUGGGCGUAAAGGGUGCGUAGGCGGCUUUUUAAGUCUGGUGUGAAAUCUCCCGGCUCAACUGGGAGGGUGCGCCGGAUACUGAGGGGCUAGAGUGUGGGAGAGGAAAGUGGAAUUCCUGGUGUAGCGGUGAAAUGCGUAGAUAUCAGGAGGAACACCGGUGGUGUAAACGGCUUUCUGGACCAUAACUGACGCUGAGGCACGAAAGCUAGGGGAGCAAACAGG
Molecule: ribosomal RNA, 253 nt
Filed under: uncultured bacterium
Lineage: Bacteria
Description: partial 16S ribosomal RNA
Rfam family: Bacterial small subunit ribosomal RNA
Source: RNAcentral